GAUGAACGCUGGCGGCGUGCCUAAUACAUGCAAGUCGAGCGAACAGACGAGGAGCUUGCUCCUCUGACGUUAGCGGCGGACGGGUGAGUAACACGUGGAUAACCUACCUAUAAGACUGGGAUAACUUCGGGAAACCGGAGCUAAUACCGGAUAAUAUAUUGAACCGCAUGGUUCAAUAGUGAAAGACGGUUUUGCUGUCACUUAUAGAUGGAUCCGCGCCGCAUUAGCUAGUUGGUAAGGUAACGGCUUACCAAGGCAACGAUGCGUAGCCGACCUGAGAGGGUGAUCGGCCACCCUGGAACUGAGACACGGUCCAGACUCCUACGGGAGGCAGGAGUAGGGAAUUUUCCGCAAUGGGCGAAAGCUUGACGGAGCAACGCCGGGUGAGGGAUGAAGGUUUUGGGAUCGUAAAACUCUGUUAUUAGGGAAGAACAAAUGGGUAAGUAACUAUGCACGUUUUGACGGUACCAAAUCAGAAAGCAACGGCUAACUACGG
Molecule: ribosomal RNA, 496 nt
Filed under: uncultured bacterium
Lineage: Bacteria
Description: partial 16S ribosomal RNA
Rfam family: Bacterial small subunit ribosomal RNA
Source: RNAcentral